This 447-nucleotide ribosomal RNA is filed under the name uncultured bacterium. RNAcentral describes it as "bacterial SSU rRNA". It matches the Rfam family "Bacterial small subunit ribosomal RNA", at positions 331 to 793 of the family's 1533-position model. The record is from RNAcentral.
CCAGACUCCUACGGGAGGCAGCAGUGGGGGAUAUUGCACAAUGGGGGAAACCCUGAUGCAGCGACGCCGCGUGGGCGAAGAAGUAUUUCGGUAUGUAAAGCCCUAUCAGCAGGGAAGAAGAAAUGACGGUACCUGAGUAAGAAGCCCCGGCUAACUACGUGCCAGCAGCCGCGGUAAUACGUAGGGGGCGAGCGUUAUCCGGAUUCACUGGGUGUAAAGGGAGCGUAGACGGCCAUGCAAGCCAGGGGUGAAAGCCCGGGGCCCAGCCCCGGGACUGCCCUUGGAACUGCAUGGCUGGAGUGCGGGAGGGGCAGGCGGAAUUCCUGGUGUAGCGGUGAAAUGCGUAGAUAUCAGGAGGAACACCGGCGGCGAAGGCGGCCUGCUGGACCGCGACUGACGUUGAGGCUCGAAAGCGUGGGGAGCGAACAGGAUUAGAUACCCUCGUAA